RNAcentral lists this ribosomal RNA (445 nucleotides) under uncultured bacterium. RNAcentral's name for it is "partial 16S ribosomal RNA". It matches the Rfam family "Bacterial small subunit ribosomal RNA", at positions 354 to 796 of the family's 1533-position model. The record is from RNAcentral.
GUAAGGAAUAUUGGUCAAUGGACGAAAGUCUGAACCAGCCAUGCCGCGUGGAGGAUGAAGGUCCUCUGGAUUGUAAACUUCUUUUAUCUGGGACGAAAAAAGGUCUUUCUAGAUCGUCUGACGGUACCAGAUGAAUAAGCACCGGCUAACUCCGUGCCAGCAGCCGCGGUAAUACGGAGGGUGCAAGCGUUAUCCGGAUUCACUGGGUUUAAAGGGUGCGUAGGUGGGUUGGUAAGUCAGUGGUGAAAUCUUCGAGCUUAACUCGGAAACUGCCAUUGAUACUAUCAGUCUUGAAUAUUGUGGAGGUUAGCGGAAUAUGUCAUGUAGCGGUGAAAUGCUUAGAUAUGACAUAGAACACCAAUUGCGAAGGCAGCUUACUGGGAUGCAACUGACACUGAUGCACGAAAGCGUGGGUAUCAAACAGGAUUAGAAACCCUGGUAGUCC